RNAcentral lists this ribosomal RNA (540 nucleotides) under Salmonella enterica subsp. enterica serovar Infantis. RNAcentral's name for it is "partial 23S ribosomal RNA". It matches the Rfam family "Bacterial large subunit ribosomal RNA", at positions 711 to 1225 of the family's 2925-position model. The record is from RNAcentral. Lineage: Bacteria; Pseudomonadati; Pseudomonadota; Gammaproteobacteria; Enterobacterales; Enterobacteriaceae. RNAcentral also lists the same sequence under 1 other name.
AGACCCGAAACCCGGUGAUCUAGCCAUGGGCAGGUUGAAGGUUGGGUAACACUAACUGGAGGACCGAACCGACUAAUGUUGAAAAAUUAGCGGAUGACCUGUGGCUGGGGGUGAAAGGCCAAUCAAACCGGGAGAUAGCUGGUUCUCCCCGAAAGCUAUUUAGGUAGCGCCUCGUGAAUUCAUCUCCGGGGGUAGAGCACUGUUUCGGCUAGGGGGCCAUCCCGGCUUACCAACCCGAUGCAAACUGCGAAUACCGGAGAAUGUUAUCACGGGAGACACACGGCGGGUGCUAACGUCCGUCGUGAAGAGGGAAACAACCCAGACCGCCAGCUAAGGUCCCAAAGUCAUGGUUAAGUGGGAAACGAUGUGGGAAGGCCCAGACAGCCAGGAUGUUGGCUUAGAAGCAGCCAUCAUUUAAAGAAAGCGUAAUAGCUCACUGGUCGAGUCGGCCUGCGCGGAAGAUGUAACGGGGCUAAACCAUGCACCGAAGCUGCGGCAGCGAACGUAUCACUUAAAGCGAUUCAGCGGGUUACGAUUGAC